This 396-nucleotide RNase P RNA is filed under the name Aeromicrobium sp. SORGH_AS_0981. RNAcentral describes it as "RNase P class A". It matches the Rfam family "Bacterial RNase P class A". Rfam says of the family: Ribonuclease P (RNase P) is a ubiquitous endoribonuclease, found in archaea, bacteria and eukarya as well as chloroplasts and mitochondria. Lineage: Bacteria; Bacillati; Actinomycetota; Actinomycetes; Propionibacteriales; Nocardioidaceae. The record is from RNAcentral.
CGAGGCGGCCGGGCGGCCGCGGCGGGCUCCGGCCCGUCGAGGAAAGUCCGGACUCCGCAGAGCACGGUGGUGGCCAACAGCCACCCACGGCGACGUGCGGGACAGUGCCACAGAGAACAGACCGCCAGCGGCCCCGCGACCUUCGGGUCACGGGGUGCGGGUAAGGGUGAAACGGUGAGGUAAGAGCUCACCAGCGACGUCGGCGACGGCGUCGGCUCGGUAAACCCCACCGGGAGCAAGACCAAGAGGGCGCUCCGGCGCCUGCGCUGACGGGCUGCUCGUCCGAUGUCAGCGGGUAGGUCGCUCGAGGCGCGCAGCAAUGCGUGACCCAGAUGGAUGGUCGCCCCCCGGCCCUCGGGCCGGGGACAGAAUCCGGCUUACAGGCCGCCUCGUUCC